UGCGCAGGCGGCCUGAUAAGUCAGGUGUGAAAUCCCCGCGCUUAACGUGGGCAUUGCAUUUGAAACUAUGUAGCUAGAGUUCUGUAGAGGGGGGUAGAAUUCCAGGUGUAGCGGUGAAAUGCGUAGAGAUCUGGAGGAAUACCGAUUGCGAAGGCAGCCCCCUGGACAGUGACUGACGCUCAUAUGCGAAAGCGUGGGGAUCAAACAGGAUUAGAUACCCCAGUA
Molecule: ribosomal RNA, 225 nt
Filed under: uncultured Thorsellia sp.
Lineage: Bacteria; Pseudomonadati; Pseudomonadota; Gammaproteobacteria; Enterobacterales; Thorselliaceae
Description: partial 16S ribosomal RNA
Rfam family: Bacterial small subunit ribosomal RNA
Source: RNAcentral